GCCAGGCGUGGUGACUCACGCCUGUAAUCCCAGCACUUUGGGAGGCCGAGGUGGGCGGAUCACCUGAGGUCAGGAGUUCAAGUCCAGCCUGACCAACAUGGAGAAACCCCAUCUCUA
Molecule: non-coding RNA, 117 nt
Filed under: Gorilla gorilla gorilla (western lowland gorilla)
Lineage: Eukaryota; Metazoa; Chordata; Mammalia; Primates; Hominidae
Source: Rfam by way of RNAcentral